UUUUUUUUUUUUUCAAGAGGGAUCACUGCUCUCUGCCUCAUAGGUGGAAAACAUAGGACAACAUUAAUACGAUUUUUAGGAAGCACUGUGCACAAAGAUACCAGAGGGGGGAAACAGGAAAAUAAAUAAGUCAUAAUAAUAAUUAAUUUUCUUAGAUUCUAAUCAUGUACUGCUUUAAUGCUUUAUUAAAGCAUGUACUACUUUUAAUGCUAUUAUUUUAUGAAUAUAAACUUAUUAAAAUAACGUGACAUCCUUAUGAAGUAGUUGCAUCACUUUACAAGAGGAUAACGAGAUUUAGAAUUUAAUCUUCAAAUAGAGAUUCAGGCAUCCUACCACAUUUACACAUGGGGUGUUAAAGGAUCCAAAGGAAGGAUGUGAAGCAUAAAGGCAGUUUCUACCAUAAUCACAGUUCAACACCGGCUUGGCUGAGGAGGUGAAAUUUAAGAGUUGUCUAAUUUUAUUCAUUCCACAAAUAUUUUUUGAGAAUUGCUAUGUGCUAAAUACAUUAAUUGUUCUGGAAUCCAAAGUUAAACAAGAUUGAAUUUCCUCCGUGAAAAUAUAUGGUAAUUAUAAUUAAUUAUUGCUCAAGUAGUGUAUAAUAGAAAGAACAUAUUGUAGAGAUACAAUAUUAUGGAAGUGAUGGAUAGUUUGUGUUAUAAGAUUGGUUUCUAAAAAUUGCAUAGAAAUCUGAGGGCCUAGCACUCCAUUCUGCCUUAUGGGGCUAAGAAUGGAAGUGGAUAGGGAGAUAUGUUUAAGUUUAGGAUUAAAAAUUAAGUAGGAGUUUUUCAAGGCAAAAAGAGAAACCAUGGAGGAAACAUGUAAAAAGAAUACGAUGCGUGAAGGCACAGAAAGGUUAGUCUCAGAGUUGAGAAGCAAUCUGGCUAGAGCACAGCAUGGAAUGUGUUAUAAGGUAAAUGGCAACUGGUGUGACUGGUAUGGUAAUUUUGUUUACAUUGAGAAAGACCUUAUGUAGCAUGAUUACAUGAACUUAUCACAUAACUCUACGUGAUCCUGCUUAAUUUAGCAAGAUAACUCUGCAGGUACUUGGAAAAUAUAAUAGAAAUGAUUAGAAUUUAAAGUCAGGGAGACCAGUUCAGUUGUUUUAUAAAUCAGUAGUGUGAAAGAACUGAAGUACUGUCAGUGCAAAAGGAGGUAGAAAUUCCAGAGACUGCAUGGUGAUAGAAUUGUCAUGACUGGAAAUCAGUUGGAUAUAGCAAUGAGGAAGAGUGAUUAAGCUAAAGGCUUAUAAAUAUAGAGAGCUUCCAAGUGCAGGACUCAAACAUUUUACAAGUUUUAACUUAUUUAAGAAGGCCUUGAGUUUUGAACCUGGAUAAUUGAAUGAUGAUUCCCAUUUCACAUGUAGAGGAUAAAGAAGAGGGGGAGAAUACUGAGGGCAGUGGGAGAUAAUAUGUUUGCUUUUGGAAAUAUUUGAGAAGUCUACAUAUCCUUUGGGUGGUGAUGUCUAUCAUGCUGUUGGUGACAUAGAUUCCACACUGAAGAGAGAGGUCAGGGCUGGAGAUAUAUAUUUAUGGCUCUUACUGUCCAUGCAUCAAUGGGGCUUUGUAGAACAAGAAGAGGAGAGAGUAAAAGUUGGAAUUCUUGGAACACAAAUACAUAAGGAAAAGGAGAGAAGAUAAAACGUAAAGAUGAGCAAAAUGAAGUAGAGGGAAAAUCAGGAGGAAAAAAGUAAAAAAGGAGAAAGUUUAAAGAAAGAUAUUGCAGUAAAAAAUGCCAAGUUUUGCAUUUAAUCUAAAUAGGAGGUGAACCGAAAGUAAAAAUUUGGGAAUUAGAAAAUGAGUGGUAAAUUCUAGGAGUCCAUUUCAGUUGCAUUAAGUGUGACAAAGUGAAUGAGAAGUCAGGAAAGAGGCCAAAUGGACUGUCACCUUGAGAAUUUUGACGCAGCAGCGGUUGGAGCUGGAGGGUAAGGAUGACGGUAUUAUUAAGGUUUUGAAAAAAAUGAAAAACCACUUUAACAUAUAAACAGAGCAAAAGGGGCCACUAAGGAUGGAGAAGCUACGGUACAAGGUAGUGAUGGAAGGUCAGCAGGAUGCAGAGUGAUUAUUGAUGGAGUGUAGUCCUAGGGGAGACCACAAAGUGAGAGAAUAAGUUUAUGUAACAAAUGUAAUAUUUCACAUGUUUAUGGCCUCAGUGUUUGGAGUCAAGCAGCUCAGUUUGAAUUCUGACUCUCCCACUUAUCAAUUGUGUGAACCAAGAAGUUACUAAACCUUUAUGUGCCUUGGUUUCCUAUCUGUCAAAGGCAAACUAGUAGUACCCCCUCCCCUCAUCCCCAGUGUUUCUGGGAGGAUCAAAUGAGAUAAGGCUUGUGAGAAUAGGACACACUACUAUUGGGUAAGUGUCCUCCAAAAACUAACUGCUAUAUUCAAGAGAUAAGUGUAAGGUGCCAUCGUGGAAAGAAGGAGAAUCACUAGUCUUUGUGAUAAAGCAAAAAAAGGGAACAAAAAUGACAAAGGUCACCUAAUAAUGAACCUAUAUUCUAAAUACACAUGGGAUAUUCUUUUAUUCUUUUUAUAUUGCUUAUAAAAUAACUUUUAAAUGUUCCAUAUCUCUAAGGAAUAUUAACAGUUAUUCAUUGCUAAGGGAAAUAAAUAUUUUUCUUUUAAUUCAGAGGAACACUAAACACAAUUACUUAAUUUCAAAGUUUUUGAGUCUUUGUCUAGAUAUGGUUCAAGGUACAGACAUCAGGAAUCAUGACCAACUCUUUCUAUUAACUACAUAGAAAUGUAUGAUACUAACAUUUCAGGGUUUUACUUCAUCUCCCUAUCUGCAAACUGCAGUGAUAUACUCUGCGAAUGAUUUCUCUGCUUUGCAUGGUCCUUGUUCUUCUGUAUGGAUAUUCUUGGCAUUUUAAUAGGGAAAAAAAGGUAAUUUCAGAAUGAACAUGACUUGAAAAGGACUGCCCAUUCCUAAGAAAAAUAGAUACCAGGAUAUUUCCUUUUGUUGUUAACAAACACUGCCUACUUGUUUUAUUUUUAACUACUUUGUUCUCACUCUCAUGAAGACUACAUGGAAGUCAGAGUAAUCUGUUCUCUUAUUUUGACUCUUCUUUUAGAGGAUUUUAUAAGAAAAUUAUAUAUGAUAGAGUCAAGCUUUGCAUUCUUCCAUUAUAUUGAGCAUUUAUAAAGGAAUAAUUCAGCAAUGAUACAUACCAUUGUGGUUGUAUAUUAUGUAGGUAAUGGGUAGUCUGUGUUUCAAAGUGAUUUUUACAACUAUUAUCUUAUGUCGUCCAUGCAAGAACAAAAUACAUUGUGGCUAUAUUUCAGGUGAGAAACCUGACAUGAAGAAAGCAAAGAAAAUUUCCCCUAAGUCAGAUAGCAAGGUUAGAAAUGCUAAACUGUUAAAAGCUGCAUUGUUCACAUUGUAAAAAGCUAUUCUUAAGCUAUAUUUGAGAGCUUUUGUAAAGAUUUACUCUUCCAUGAAAUCAUUGAAGAAAAGGAUAAACAGAACAAAUUCUCACUUUUUCUCUUUGUUUCUUUCAACAGCAUUCUAACAUCUAUGAAACUGCUUAUAUUUAAAAUACAAUCUACAUGCAGAAGAAUGACUUCCAUUUAGAGAAAGCAAUGAUUCAAUGAUCUAGGAAGUUUCCU
Molecule: long non-coding RNA, 3605 nt
Filed under: Canis lupus familiaris (dog)
Lineage: Eukaryota; Metazoa; Chordata; Mammalia; Carnivora; Canidae
Description: lncRNA (ENSCAFG00000053051.1)
Source: RNAcentral